This is an RNA transcript of Alligator sinensis (Chinese alligator), 5274 nucleotides long. RefSeq lists it as uncharacterized. NCBI's taxonomy places the organism in Eukaryota, Metazoa, Chordata, Crocodylia, Alligatoridae. The transcript has 3 exons. The record is from RefSeq and is a predicted model, not a curated record.
CCCACACGCCGGCCUGUGCACCGAAAUGGAAACAGCCCGGGAGCAGCGCGGCGCCUGGCUCCGAUGCCCCAUGCGGGACGCCAGCCCGCGGGAGAAGUGGCCUCACCUCUGCAAACCCCAGCCGUGGGGUGUGCCGGGGGAGCCGGUGCAGCGGAGCCUGGCGGGUAGCGGGAGGCCGGACACCUGUUCCUACCAACAAAGCCCCCUUUGUGGAGGCACUGCAAUGGACAGACAAGCAAUUGAUGGAUGAGCCCGGGGCCCAGCCACACGCUCCGUGAAACAGCCGCCUGCAAAGGGACACCAGGGCAGGGGACCUGGGGAAGGCAGCGCAGAGCCAGCCCCUUUCCCCCUGGCUGGGCCUGGCUGGGAGUGCGGGACGGGCUGCGCUCCCUACGGCACUGCAGCUCAGCGCCUCCCGAGGCUCACAGCCGGACCCUGCCUUCUGGGGGGCUGGGUCACUCGUGUACACACGUGCACAUGCACAUAUGUACACAUGCACACAGGUACACGUGCACACGCACACACAGGCAGGCAAGGUUCUUUGGGUAGAUGUGAUAUCUUUUAUUAGACCAGCUACAUAGUUGGAAAAAAUGCUCGUUGCAAGCUUUCGGGCACAAACGCCUUCUUCAGGCAUCGGGAGACCCAUGCAGACACACGGUGUUUCAGCAGCGCCAGGGUGCUCAGACGUGUCCCAAAUCUGGCGCUCUGCACCCAUGGGGCCGUCUCCUGCUGCAGUAAAGGAGUCUGCGCAGGCUGCCAUGUAGCAGCCAUGUCCCCCAGCAAGGAUGAAGUGCCUGUGCCCACCCCAUGCCUGGGCUCCCAUGGGGACUCCUUGCAGGGGCAGGGUGGACCGGGGGAAGCCCUGGCAGCUGCCCAUCAGCCUGGCCAGGUCUGGGCUCUGGGCUGGCCCUGGGAGGAGACUGCGUGGCUUGACUGGACCAAGAUUUAAUUGCAAUUAAGUCAGCUCCCAUCACCUUCUCACAGACAGCAGCCGCCAGCGCGUCGCAGGCGCAGAGUCCACGGCCGGUGACCGGCAGGCGCUGCUGGGGGAGGUUGGGAUGCCUGAGCUCGGGGGCUGGGGAGAAACGUGGCUGGACUAGUGGACGGCUGCAGAGGAGCCCCUGACCGGCCCCAUGAGCAUGGUCGGAAGGGCAAGCCGGGCUGUCUUGAGACUAGCCAGCUUGACCAAGUCACCCAAGCAAUUCCCCGUCUGCCCGAAGUCCGGCUCUGGCCGAGCAGCGUGGCGCUGCCGGGCAGGGUGGCACGGGGAGGCCUUCACAGCCAGCGCGCCAUCUCUGAUGGCUCCCAGAUGGCAAUCGCUGCUUUAUCCCCCUGCAACCUGUGUGACUCUGGGAGGGCAGCGAGAAGAAGGUGGGGCGAGGUGGGGGAGGCAGGGUCGGUCCCCGGGGAAUGGUGGCGAUUUCCAAGCCAGGCCCUUUGCAGCACUCAUUUGCUUUGGAAAUAAGCAGCAGUUGCUUUGCAUUCAGGGCUAACGGCAGCCGGCCCUGGGAGGGGCGCGGGGGGCAAAUCGAUCUCCCCAGACGGAGGAAGCUAUCACGGGGCGGCUGUCCCUGCUGCGCUGUGUCAGGCCGGGCGCAACUCUUGCUCCGCGCGGUCCUGCUCGAUGCUGCAGCGAGGCUUUUCCUGCGACCUUGCUCCUUGGUGCUCUGGUGCAAAUAAGUCAUCCUCAGGGAAGAGAAGAGGCAAGCAAGGAGAGGAGGAAGGAGGGGUCCGAGCAGACGCGCCCCGCGGCCUGUGUGUCACUAUCGGUUGCGUCACCGCCCCGCUGCCUCGGAGCAGGCUCGCUCUGCCCCGGGGACGCAAUAGCUGCCAGUUUCUGGGGACGUUUCUGAAGAUGACAUGCAAAAGGGCAGAUAAUGAAUAAAAGCUCAGCUUCUAGGAGGUGGCUUGGAUGCGAGCAUCUGAACCCUCCUGCAUUGCUAUCCUGCCCUGGUCUAACUGAGGUCACAAGCAGGACACCCAGUGUCUCCCCAAGCCCAGCCAGGUGCUGGACCCAGGGCUCAGCACCUUGCCUCCACCCAGGAGGGCUGGAAGACACUUUUUCUCCUGACUUGAGAUAGAAAAAUGCAUUUAUUGUGCGGUUCCAUGGGGCCAGGUCCCCACCUUGGGUGGGGGGAUUGCAUUGGCUUUCAGGCUCCCGUGCAGGGCUUAGCAUCGGAGCAAGCUCCCAGCGCAGCUGCAGCAGGACAGUCGCACCUCACUGGGGCUGUCUGCCACGACCCUCGCCGAUUCCCCCGGUAAGUGCCAUGGGUGUGGGAGCCCCGCCACCCCGCUCAGCUCGUGGAGCUACUGGCUGGUAAGCAAUUCAAUAUAAUUGUAUCGUCUACGCGAUUUUUAAGGAUUCCAGUAGAGUUUUGUCCUUUGAGGUUGAAAACAACAACCGGAGCUGCUUUGCCCACUUCAAAGUCUGCGCAGAGCCAAACUUUUGUGAGGACAUUAUGUAGCGCACCUUGAUCUCAUCUUUUAUCCCACUAGGUGCUACGUCUUGCUGUACACUUGCCAGCUGCGAGUUAAGUAUAAUUGCCAUUUCCUAACCCGCUUGGAAACAACAGCAGUGGGUUGAUAAGAACAACUUUCCUUUUAUUUAUGAAUCAAUUUGAGGGCUGGCUUCAAGGGAAGACAAUUAUUAGGGUAUUCAGGAACAUCUACACGUGCACUUUAAUGUGCAUUAGCCUAUUUUAACGCACAUUAAGGUGUCACUAACUAAAGAGCACGGUGUUUAAGUGUCACUUAAUGCACAUUAGCUUAUUUUAAUGCGCAUUGACUAAAUAGCAUGGUUUUUAAUGAGCAUCAAAGCAGGCGAAUGUGCAUUUUCCUAGUAUCUCACAAUGGAGGCACUAGAUUUAAUGCGUAUUAACUAAAGCGCGUUCAUGCAUGUGUAGACACGUCCUCGUGCCUCACUCCAGCUGCAGUUUGCAUUUUCAGUGGAAAAUGGUCUCCGUGUCCGUGGUCCGAAUGGGGCACACCGCUCGGGAACACCUACUCCUCAACGUUACGUCCUAUCCUGUCUGUGCAGAGCGGCCCCGCCAUGCUGCUGCCCCGGCCCAGGGCUCUCCUCCCCGCUCUGGCAGAGCCCUGGCUGCACUUGCCUCUCCCCUGGGGCUGAGUCCUGAUGCGAUGGGCCUGCCCCCGUGUCAGGAUCCUGCUGGGGAAGGGGCCUUGCCAUCGGACGGUGCUGCCCCGGGACUCCCUCCGCAAGCACGAGGUCUGCGCGUAUCCCAGACAGGAGCGGGGCAGCUUCACGGUAAAAAAGAAAAGUCUCUGUAUCCACUUGGAGUCUAUUUACUGCCGCUGUGUGAGACUGAUCAGGGGUGACACCCCCCACACAAGCCCAGGCCAUGCCUCGCGCGGCAGCAAGUCACCCAGAAACCCCCCGGGAAAGGGCAGGGGAGGAAAUCGCCCUUUGGAGCAACCGUGAACCCGGCUGUGAUUGAAAGUGUCUGCAGAGCUGGGGACGGAGAGGACUCCGCGUGAGCUGUGCUCGGGUGGGGAAGACUUGGUGAUGAGCUUGGCAGGUCUUUAUUUCCCCCAAAGGCUGCCUCUUUGUUGGGUUGUUUCGCGAACAGCUAAUUGAUGGCACACUAAAACAACGCGAGGCUUUCCCGCCUCGAUGGCAGCAUCCCUUCCCGUGGCAUUAAUCGUCAAUAAAAGUUAAAUGCCGGUGCCAGAGGAGACGGGGUGGCACGGUACCGCGGCUCCGACGUGCUGCACAAAUCCGCCACGCCGCUCGCUGGCUUCGAGCACACUGAGCUCAUUAAGCCCCACUACUGUGAUAACACUCACUUUAAUACACAUCCUCGCAGUGUGCAGUAGAUUGUAGACAAGGAGCCAAUUCAGGAGCAGGAGGUAUCUGCAAACACAUACUGCUGUCUUCAGGCCUUCUGCAUCCAAUACCCCUAGCAAAAGAGGAAACACUAUAAAUAUUCAGCCCCCUCUUAUUAUUUUUCAUCAGGGUGAGCUGCUUUUUUUUUUUUUUUUUGCUGUAAACUUGGCAAUUAGCUGUCUGUGAAAAUCAUUCCCUAUAUUUUAUAUCCCAUCAGUAGUCCUAGCAGACAGGUUUAUGUUGUAUUAAUAACUAGUGGUGGGUGAAAGGAAGUUUGUCUUUGUCAACAUAUCAGUCGAUGUCAACACUUGCACGGCAGAGUCCCCCACUGCUAGUAACGUGCACGGGAAGGGCAUUUCGCUCUGGCGAGACAGAGCUCCCAGCUCCUGGACUGAGUUUAAAAGCAGAGUCAUUUCUAGCAGGCAAAGAUAAAACCCAGCCUGGGCAGCCGGCCACAGCUUUCCUGUAUGGUCUGCUUGCUCGGUGACCAACGGGUACGCGCAGUGCGGCUGUCAGGACCGCUGCGGUGGCACCGGGCGAGGGGUUCGCCGGCCAGCGGGUUCGUCUAUUGCUCGGAGAGCUGGGGAGAGGCAAUUCCCAGUGCCGCGGGUCAGGUGAAGGAUGGUAACCACAGUCAUUAGUGGCGGUUCCUCACUACGGCGCUCCAGACGAGGAGCUGCUCUUCCCACUCUCCAGCUGCCCUUGGGUGACAGAAGAGGCCGGCGUUGCAGCGUCCCGCAAAGGAGCUGCUAAUUGUCUGCAGCAGACGGUCCCUCUCUGGAGUGGGCUGAGUCCCCCUCCCCUGCAGCUGGCUGACACCGCUCCUGGAUUUUGGGUGACUUUCUGCCCUCCCACAUGCGGCCUUAGCAUGGGCAGUGCCCUGCUGGGAGGGAAACCGUCCCGCUGCAGCCUGUAGCCAACCUUUGCUGGUUGGGCAGAUAGCAGCGUGGCCUGGUUUCCAUCCCCUGGCAGGAGGGGGUUGCUGUGUGCCCGGGACACGUCAGUACUGGUGCACAGGACUUCAAAAGCCACCCGCGGCACAGGGGGCUGGGCACUGCUGAAAGGGGGAAGCCCGCAACUCCAGCGCUGCCGGUGGAGUGUGCUUUGCCAGUUCUGCACUAUCGCAUCAAGAACGUAUUUAAAGAGCUCUUCUCAUCUAGAAUGAGCCUGAAAUAAUUGCAGGCACAGCACACGUCCGUAGACGUGCACGUACACCCGCAUCGGUGUGCCUCGGGCUUUGUGGGUGAGCCUCUAUUUCUCUUUUAUGCUAGGAUAUAUUAUAUGGUAUAUCUUAUAUGGUAUAUCUAUAUUAUCUAUAUUACGUAGUCUAUCUAUAUUAUACGGUAUAUAUUGUAUGGUUUAUCUAUCUAUCUAUGUAUAUACACAAAGGGGUGUCUCUCCACCUCUGGUUGUGUGGUCAAGUGUUGGAC